RNAcentral lists this long non-coding RNA (1729 nucleotides) under Bos taurus (domestic cattle). Its description in RNAcentral is "adipocyte differentiation-associated long noncoding RNA (ADNCR)". Lineage: Eukaryota; Metazoa; Chordata; Mammalia; Artiodactyla; Bovidae. The record is from RNAcentral.
AGAGUACCUCAAACAAAUCAUUUCAAAUAUGCAUUUUCUCCCUGUAACACAAGUGUAAGGGCCUGACACAUUAAAAUAUAACAGUAGGUGGAACUUAAUUUUAAAUGUAAAAAUUUGCAAAUGCAAACUACAUAAAAAGAAUAAAAUUUAAUUUUGUCAUAUUCAGAUAAUACAUAUUCUCAGAUUAGUGUGAUUUCUUAGUUUUGGCAAAAAGGUAAAUUCUUAUGUUAUUUCCUUAUUCUGAGGGAGUAUAAGUUUGGCAAUGCCCUAGUGUCUAUUGCCCAGGGCAAUAAGAAAGGUUUUGCUGAAACUCAUGCCUUGAUUCAAGACACUUCCGUGAUAAGAAAUUAAUAUUUAAGUAAGAUUAACUGAAAAAUAGAUGCUGCGGUUAAGGCUCUUUCCUCCUUUGAAUUGUUAUUUUGCUUUGUAUUUCUUCAGGCAUUUUUUAGAUAUUUUAUUAAGAUGUAUUUUAUUAAUUCCCAGAGAUUGCUCUUGCUUUUACUUUACCAGCCUCCAGUUUUUGACAUCAUCAUCUAUAUACCAGAAUCAUGGAAGGUCAUCUAAUCCAACCUCUUCAUUUACAGAUCAGAAAAUUGAGGCCCAGAGAGAUAUAGUCAUGUGCCCAACAUCAGAAGUGGGCCUUGAUCUUAAAACUCCUGACUAUUCAUUUUUGUUCCAAUUCUCUUUGCCUACACCCCCUCCGUCAGUAUUUAAAGCCAACCACACAUAUUCUUGCCUGGGAAAUCCCAUGGACAGAGAAGCCUGGCAAGCAAUAGUCUGUGGGGUCGCCAAGAGUCAGACACAGCUUAGUGAUUAAAUACCACCACCCAGUCAACCCCCAACAAAAGGAAAGGCAGUGGGUAAGGCUGUCACACUUUUGAGUUUGUUUCUCUUUUCCACUGCCCUGGGCUUCAAAUCAAGGACAUGUCUGUCAGGUGAAGGUUAAUUUUACUGAGGUUUUUCCAAAACUUCAUUUAAUCCUUAGAAAACUGAGCGUUUUGAAUUUACUCCAAUCCUCCAGGCAUCAUUCCUACUUCUUUUGCCAUGUCAAUGAGACACUGGAGAUCACAUUUUUUCAUAGUAAAAUCACAUUCAAAUACUUCCUCGAUGACCUCGUGCUUGACUUACCUGAACCUGCAAAUGUAAAAAUGAUUGUAUCUGAAUUUGCACUGAUGGUAUAUGAUAGCAGAAGACCUUACUGGAAUCCCCUGUUUAAAUUCAGUAAUUUGGAUGCUACAUACGUCUGCAAUCUUCUUGAUUAUUUUCACUAUAAGAUUAAUUAUCUAAGUUUCAAUGUAUUUCCUUACAGUCUAUUCAUUUGCCAUCUAUCUCUUACCUGGGGAUCAUUAUGAUUGCAAUAAUUCACUGAAGUUUUCCUCAGCUUCUUAAACCAAUUUUUCUGCAUUUCUUUUGCUUACAGUAUGUGGAAAAUCUGGUUUGUUUGUUUUUCCUAGUAAUCAUUUUGUAAGAAAGCGCAGUGUAUCAACUGCCUUGGUGACACAAUUCAUCUUUUCAGGUCUGGAAGCUGGUUGUGACCAAAUGCCAUAUGUCUUCUCUCUGUCAAUUGCUAUUUUCAGAAUUAAAUCAUUUAUUUUUUAUUUUUCACUUUCAGUUGGAGUCAACAUAUUUGGGAAUUUUUAGAAGGGGGAGAAGGGAGCAAUUUGUGUAAUACUGCUGUCAUAUUUGACUACAUAUUAAAAACAAUAAAUGAUCGUUUUGUUUUAAUUUC